RNAcentral lists this small nucleolar RNA (55 nucleotides) under Plasmodium yoelii yoelii. RNAcentral's name for it is "small nucleolar RNA snoR07". It matches the Rfam family "small nucleolar RNA snoR07", at positions 30 to 88 of the family's 88-position model. Lineage: Eukaryota; Apicomplexa; Aconoidasida; Haemosporida; Plasmodiidae. The record is from Rfam by way of RNAcentral.
GGCGGACUGAAUGAAAGUCAAACUUUAAUGUAGAAAAUCGCUGGAACUGAUAAGA